This 234-nucleotide ribosomal RNA is filed under the name uncultured bacterium. RNAcentral's name for it is "partial 16S ribosomal RNA". It matches the Rfam family "Bacterial small subunit ribosomal RNA", at positions 524 to 756 of the family's 1533-position model. The record is from RNAcentral.
UACGUAGGGGGCAAGCGUUGUCCGGAUUUAUUGGGCGUAAAGAGCUCGUAGGUGGUUCGGUAAGUCGGAUGUGAAAUCUCCAGGCUCAACCUGGAGGGGUCAUUCGAUACUGCCGUGACUAGAGGUCGGUAGGGGAGUGUGGAAUUCCUGGUGGAGCGGUGAAAUGCGCAGAUAUCAGGAGGAACACCCGUAGCGAAGGCGGCACUCUGGGCCGAUACUGACACUGAGGAGCGA